GAUGAACGCUGGCGGCGUGCCUAAUACAUGCAAGUCGAGCGAACGGAUAAGGAGCUUGCUCCUUUGAAGUUAGCGGCGGACGGGUGAGUAACACGUGGGUAACCUACCUAGAAGACUGGAAUAACUUCGGGAAACCGGAGCUCAUGCCGGAUAACAUUUGGAACUGCAUGGUUCUACAGUACAAGAUGGUUUUGCUAUUACUUAUAGAUGGACCCGCGCCGUAUUAGCUAGUUGGUAAGGUAACGGCUUACCAAGGCAACGAUACGUAGCCGACCUGGGAGGGUGAUCGGCCACACUGGAACUGAGACACGGUGCAGACUCCUAGGGGAGGCAGCAGUAGGGAAUCUUCCGCAAUGGACGAAAGUCUGACGGAGCAACGCCGCGUGAGUGAUGAAGGUUUUCGGAUCGUAAAACUCUGUUAUUAGGGAAGAACAAAUGUGUAAGUAACUGUGCACAUCUUGACGGUACCUAAUCAGAAAGCCACGGCUAACUACGUGCCAGCCGCCGCAGUAA
Molecule: ribosomal RNA, 513 nt
Filed under: uncultured bacterium
Lineage: Bacteria
Description: partial 16S ribosomal RNA
Rfam family: Bacterial small subunit ribosomal RNA
Source: RNAcentral